CCUACGGGAGGCAGCAGUAGGGAAUCUUCCACAAUGGACGAAAGUCUGAUGGAGCAACGCCGCGUGAGUGAAGAAGGGUUUCGGCUCGUAAAGCUCUGUUGGUAGUGAAGAAAGAUAGAGGUAGUAACUGGCCUUUAUUUGACGGUAAUUACUUAGAAAGUCACGGCUAACUACUGGACAGCAGCCGCGGUAAUACGUAGGUGGCAAGCGUUGUCCGGAUUUGUUGGGCGGAAAGCGGGUGCAGGCGGUUCAAUAAGUCUGAUGUGAAAGCCUUCGGCUCAACCGGAGAAUUGCAUCAGAGACUGUUGAACUUGAGUGCAGAAGAGGAGAGUGGAACUCCAUGUGUAGCGGUGGAAUGCGUAGAUAUAUGGAAGAACACCAGUGGCGAAGGCGGCUCUCUGGUCUGCAACUGACGCUGAGGCUCGAAAGCAUGGGUAGCGAACAGGAUUAGAUACCCCAGUAGUC
Molecule: ribosomal RNA, 465 nt
Filed under: uncultured bacterium
Lineage: Bacteria
Description: partial 16S ribosomal RNA
Rfam family: Bacterial small subunit ribosomal RNA
Source: RNAcentral